This 15747-nucleotide long non-coding RNA is filed under the name Gossypium barbadense (sea-island cotton). Its description in RNAcentral is "long non-coding RNA (GBAR_LNC017127)". The record is from RNAcentral. Lineage: Eukaryota; Viridiplantae; Streptophyta; Magnoliopsida; Malvales; Malvaceae.
CGCAAUCGAAGUCGUUUUGGCCGCCAAGUCCAGGCACUAUCAUAACGGAGUAGCUGAUGAUGAUAAAGAAGGUCACGGAGAGGCAGGGUCCCGAUUGCUGGUUUCUCCACAGGAGUUCGAUAAGUCCGAGGUAAGGUUCGUUUUCUACAUUUAAAAAAAAAUCUUUUGCUUGUUCUAAUGAAAUUGGAUAUUGUUAAAGACAGACUGUACUUAUAGAUAGAAAAAUGCAUUGAAAAUGUUCUUCUUCCUUGGAAUGAAAAACCAAUUGUUGUAAUAUUAUCUUAACUAAUCAUGAUUAGUAAUAAUGUUUAUGAUAGUAUAAACAUAGUUAUAAUGUUAAUUGGUUAAAUUUAGGGUUUAUUGUAGUUUCCGUGUGGAGAUUGCUUUUGAUAUUGAAGCCAAAAGCAUGUUUGGAUGCGUGCUAGAAUAUACUUUUUAAUAGUUGACAAUGAAAGUUUUUUGAUCUUUAAGUAUUUAAUAAUAAGAUAUACUUAUACAUGAAUUUGGGUUACAUUUUUCUAAUUGAAUGAGAUUAUGAGUUUUACUAGUUUCUUUUGCUUUUUAUCAACUUCAGAACAAAUUUAAUGUCAAUAAAAACUCAAAAACUAUAUGAAGUUUUAGUUUUUCUCUUCUGUGAAUUGAUUAUAGUGUCUGUUGUUUGAUUCCCUUGUGGAUGUGUUAGAACAAACUUUUACUUCAUCAGAUUAUUGGAAGAAAAAGAAAAUGCUCAAAUGCAGAAUCCCUUUGAGUUUCUUAUGCUUAUGAGAGUUCAGCGUCCAUCUGAUUUGUUGUAUAAUUAUAAAAACAGAGUGGGUAGACAUCUUUUUUAAAGUUAGAGGACCUAAAUUCCUCUAAUUCCAUUUUGUUAUUAUAACAUAAUUUUUGGUCUUCUUUUGUACUUUUCUUACCGAGUUUGUGCUUUUAACUAGUGACACUAGCUCAAUUAGACACAUUCUAUAUAGUAUAAAUAAAUACUAUUUAUAACAAUUUUAUUUUUCUUUUCCGAGUAUGUAUUGAUGGUUUGAUUCUUGCUUCAUCUAUGCUUGUGCCUUAAAUGAAUAAAACAUUGAGGAUAUUAUCAAUAGAAUUUUACUUUUUCUUCUCUUUGUGGUUAAGUUUGAUUUGAUGCUUACAAUAUAAAUACCAUGGUUUCCAUCUAUCGCUAACUUGUUAUGUGGAUUCUAUUGGUUAAACUACCCCACAAGUCCCUGGAUUAUAGAUUGAAGUGUAAAUAGGCUCUCUAUUAUAAAACUGAGUAAUAUUGUCUUGGUCUUUCUCUCUUCUCUCUUUUUUUUUUUUUUUUUUUUUUCGGUCCUGGUCUAUUUAAUUCUGAAACAAUGAGGUAACCUUGAAUGUUAAAAAAAUUCUGACUUGUAUUUUAAAGUGAUCUGGAAAAAUAUAUAAAACUAAAAUCCAGCAUUUUCAAAACGCCACAAGGACUAAAUUUUGCUUACUUUAGACAUGACAAGUCAGCAUCUUUUAACACCAUAACUUUACUGUCGUUUAUAAUUUUACAUAUUAGCUCCUAAAAUUAUAGUACAAGGAUCCACCAGGUAGUUUAACAACAGUGUUUCUUAUUUUUAUUUUGUUAAAAAUGAACAAUAACCAUGACAUACAGACACAUGCUCACAAGGAAAAGGGGGUAUAACCGUGAUAUGCUACUUUCAGAAGUUGUAGCUUUGUGUAUUAUUUUAUUCUUCAAAGUAAAAACAGGGUAACUUGUCCAUUUAUCAUUUCUUUAGUUCUUUUAUAUACUUACAUACAUAAAUAAUAGUUUACAUCAUUUUAUCAUAUUGGCUAGCUCCUUUUUCCUGUAAUUUAUUAUUUUUUGAAUAGGAUGGUUGAAUAUUUCUGAUAAAGAGAAAUUGGUAUGGUAGCAUGAUAUCUGAGUUUAAUCUCUGUUUCUGUUUCGUUCUGAUCCUAUAGGUGCUACAAAUUUUACCAAUAAGGUCAUUGUCUUCCAAGAUUGUGGGGAAGAGGUCCGCCCUAUCUUUGGAGGCAUUUCUAUGUGAAUAUUUCCUCUCAGGUUCUCCAGUUAUAAUUACUGAUUGUAUGGCUCACUGGCCAGCUAGGACAAGGUGGAAUGAUAUGGAUUAUUUAAGAAGGAUUGCUGGUGAUCGUACUGUCCCAGUUGAGGUGAUUAAUCUUCCUGUUUUUUUUUUUUUCAAAAUUCAGUAGAGAUCAAAUCUGUAACAAAUGCUUUGGUACAUUAUCUCUUCCUGACAUAUGUUCUCCUACCUGCAUAUAUACUAUUUUCUCUUUUAAACAGUAAUUUAUCUGAUCUUUUCUACAUAAUUUGAUCUUUUAAACAUAUUUAUUUGAUCUUUUCUACAUAUUAAGUCACUUAACUGGGAAUAUUUCUCUGUUACCGAUCUUAAUUAUUUUCUCUCAGCAUUUAAGCUAAGGCGCAUUCUUGUGUGGAUCUUGAUAAUCUAAUGUGGGUUUGUGGCUCAUCUUUUUUUGUAUUCUUACAUAGAUCCUGAUGGUUUUAGUUUGGUUCCGAAGGCAAUUUGUGUCUUCAUAUGCUCAAUGAGCGAUUGCUAGGUUAAAGAUCCUUAUGCUUUAGUUUUUUUUGUGGGCAUUGUAAUGAAUUUACUCAAUCUUGAGGCACUUGCAAAGAGUCACGUGCCUGAGUGUUUUCUUGAUUGUAAGGUUACUAAAUGGUUGAUCUUCUAGUGUAUCCCAACUAAUUAUUAUUCCUUAGCGGAUGGAGCCAUUAUUGCCAAAAUUGAACCCAGAUAUCCUUCUACAUCUAGAUUAAUGUACUUACCUUGUUACAAUCAGACAAUCAAGUGGGCUCACACCCAGUAUUUGCAAAUAUUUAAGCUUUCCACUAAACCCAACCCUUCUUAAUCCGUCAGUUAUCAUAUCGUUUUGCUUACUUUGUUUUGCUUGACUAAUGAUUAUGUGAUCAUGUGUAGUUCUCAGGCAAUUUAGUUGAGCAAUGGAAUCCUUCUCCAGGUAAUAGGAUUCUUAAUGAUCAUAAUGGAAAAAAGCUUCAGAUCUUUCCUUUGACGGAUGAAUCUUUCAGGGAACGUUGUAGUUGGGUGUUUGGUGAAUUAAACAAGCUUUCAUCAUUUGUUCAGCAACAAAACAAAAAGGAAUUCUUGUACGUACACUAUUAUUUAAAGGGCUGAUUGGGUCAGUGUCACCCAUUAACCCAGUCCCAACUCGAUUGGGAAAUUACCGGAAACCUGUUCCUUUAAUAAAAUAACAAACAUUAAUAUGACUAUUUUUGUCAUUUUUAUGUUUUAUGUAAAAUCUAGAGAAAUGCACAAAAUAAGGUUUGAACCUAAAACAUCAGACUUUAAUAACUUAACUUCACUAUUUCAACCAAAGUCUCAGUUAUUUUUUUUAUCAAUUUUUUUAUAAAUACAUUUGUUAUAUAAGUUUUUGUUCCACCCACAUCAUGGGUAAUGCCAUAAUCUAGUUAGAAUCUUUUCAUAAUAUUCUUGCUGUAAGAAAUGAUUGGUUAACCUGCCCCAAUACUAAAAAUGGUUAACUGAAGGAACUUAAGGAUUGGUCUAGAUGGUUCAGCCACCCACUUUUGGACUUAGGAGCGGAAAUAAAAUGGUUUGCUGAAGUCUUCAAAAUUGUAAAGUUAUUCUUCACUUAACUACCUAGUUAUUGUCACUAAGAAUUGCUAUUAUGGAUGGAGAUUGUAUUAUUGAAAGCUAUUUAAUUCUAUUUCCUUUAUUUAUUUUUGGCAAGUUAUUACUAUGAAGAUAAUUAAACUGAAAGCUGGUAAAGCUUGGAAUGCUUUUCAGGUAGGAAAAAACUACUUGUGUUCAGAGUGGAAGCAAGAGCUUGUUACAUUUUCCGAGUUUCUUGAGAGGGUUCAAUCUACAGGCUGCAGUAGUAAGGCCCCUACAUAUUUGGCACAACACCAAUUGUUUGAUCAGGUAGUAUUAUCCUCUUAUUUUAUUCUUUGUGAGAUUUAAUUUCACUGUUAUGUACUGAAGCUGCAUUAAUGCUACUACAAUAAUGCAGAUAAAUGAUUUGCGGAAAGACAUUUCUAUUCCUGACUAUUGUUGUGCUGGUGGUGGGGAGCUGAGAUCUCUCAAUGCAUGGUUUGGUCCAGCUGGGACGGUUACACCUUUGCACCAUGAUCCACACCAUAAUAUCCUUGCUCAGGUACUGUCAUGCAUUGAUUAAUCCUAACAAAUGGUAAGGUGAAUCAUGGUCUCCGAUGAAAUUUUUUUCAUAUCUCAUGAGUCUUAGACAAAUUCCUUUGCACCAUGAUCCACACCAUAAUAUACUCGCUCAUGAGUCUUGAGAUGGUAGGUUUGUUUUCAGUUUUGGAGCUUAGAUCAUAAAGUAGUGGUAGCUUGACUCAUGUUCCCCAUGCUGCAUUACAUUAUUGACAUGCUAUCUUGUGCUAUUAUUUUAGUAUUAUGGACUCAUGUUUAAAGUAGGCUCCAAAUCGGUAUAUGUCCAACUGGUUUAGAUUUGUAAAUGAGUAAUUUACCAUCCUACUAGUUCACAAAAGAGAAUUUCUUAUUUUUAGUAAAUUAUGAGUAGCAGCAUGCAAGGGCUCCUUGAAAUGAAUUGUAUGAAGGGGAUUCUUUAAUCAGGGAAAACAUCUUAAUCAACAUUGUUGCAUAUUUCAUUAUGCUCUUUGAUACAUUUAGGUCAUCAUGCAUUUUAUUUUUGCUUCAGAUUUGUGCAAAAUUAGACAUCCAGACUACUAGUUUAAAAGAUUAUUUGGGGUCAUUGGAUAAAAACCAUGGCAUUUUCUUCGAAUGGUUUGCAUGAAAUUUGAAAUGUUCUAAUCUUUUAAAUCAUCUACUUUUCUUUUUGAAUAAAUUUCAAAGUUUUAACAUAAUGUGCUUUCUGGUAAGCACCGAAUCAUCUCUAGGGUCAUAUUUCUUACAUACAAUGAUAAGUGGCCUUCAGUCAAGCAUCUCCAGUAGGAAAAGGGUAAUAGUGAGUGUUAGGUUAGCAUGUAGCAUUUCUUGAGCUAUGUUUUUCAAGAGCAUCAAUUCUUCAUUGAUGAUUGUUGACCUAUGCUUCUCUUCAUGAGUAUUGUUCAACUAGCUAUUUUAGCUCUACACUUUUCAACAGCUCAAUUACAAUGACUCUUGUAUAAACUUUUUUUUAAGCUUUUGAAAUGGUUUUCAGGCAAUUUUCUUUUCCCUUAUGCUGCAUUAUCUAUGAACGCUUGUUGGUGGGUAGCAGGUCCAGUUUAAUUCUGCAUGGAUUUAACUCAAUGGAUAUUCUGCUCCUUAUUUUAGGUUGUUGGUAAGAAGUAUGUGAGACUCUACUCUGCUACAUAUUCUGAGGAGCUUUACCCAUACAGCGAAACCAUGCUCUACAAUUCCAGCCAGGUAUCCACUUACUUGAUCCCCUCUCUUGGAUUGAUGAACUUUGUGUAAGAGAUAAAACUGAUAUUGUAGUGUUUCAUCCGUGGAGACUCUUUAAGACAUGCACAUUCUCUCACUUGGACAAGUAAAUGACUUGCCUGAAUACUUUUCAUGAUAAAAUUUGCAUUACAGUGUUCCAUCCAUGUAUACUCUUAAGACAUGAACAAAAAGACACUCACUUGGACAUUGAAACACCUUUUUUUCUAUUGUCUUGGCGAAUCCAAUGUGCACAUCUAGCAUUAGAUUGACCACUUUUUCAUUUAAGGGCUUGGUCAUGAUUUUUAGUUUGAUUUAUAACCAUUUUCAGCAAGGUUGGUACUUUUUUAGAUUUCUUCUAGCUGUAGUAUAUGUUUUGCUCUGUUAAUUUACAGCUGAGCAGAGUUUGGUUAGGCAAGGAGCAGCAUGUCUUGUAUUGAUUUUAAAGGAACACUUGCUUUAAUAGAUUUUUGUUCAUUGGUGUGCUACAUUGUUUGUUUCCUAAGAAAAAAAUUAAAUUUCUCCCAACUGUUGGGCGGUAAAACCUGAUGUGUUGGGACAAAAAGAAAACAUUGAACUACUUAUGAAUUUCAUAUAGAGAUGUUUUUUAUAAGAGCUGUUUAUUUUGUUAUGCGUCUUUUAUCAGUUAAUAUGAAAAGCUUUAGCAACAAACACUGACCAAAGAUGUAUGUUAUGAAGGUUGAUCUGGACAACAUAGAUGAGGUAGAGUUUCCAAAGGUGCGUGACUUAGAAUUCAUAGACUGCAUUUUAGAGGAAGGUGAAAUGCUUUAUAUCCCACCGAAAUGGUGGCAUUAUGUGAGAUCAUUAACGACAAGUUUUUCAGUCAGCUAUUGGUGGAGUACUGAUUCUGGAAGUUCAAUGGUGUCUUAGAAUAUGUAAACAUUUAGUAUUCUUUCUAUGUCUAUGUUGUAAAGUUCUUUUUGGAAGAGAAGUGGACUUCAUGUAUAUCAAAACCUUUGCUAGCAAAAUUUACGUGCAGCCAGCCUGAAAGAGAAACAAUGAUAAUAGUGUAUUUAUGCGUGUAUGGGGAGUUUUUGACUGUAUCUUUGAACUCGCCCUAGUUUACCGGAUAGGUUUGAUAUCGAACAUCUUUCCAAGCAAGCUCUCUGUCUCUCCCACACAAAAAUAUGAUUUAUUAUCCAUAUCAUCUUUUUUUUUUUUAUAUAAUUUGUUAAUUUUUUUAUAUAAUAUUUAAAACUACUCGUAUCCAUUCUUCAACUCUUAAAUAGUCCAUUCUUGAACUCUUAAAUAGAAUGAUAAGCAUGUUCCGGUGUGUUCAAAUUUAUGCCCUUUGCGUUGGUAAUAAUGUCGAUGCCAAUCAAGUUAAGAUUCAAUUAGCAUAAAUUGUUAAAAUUUUAAAAUUAAUAAUUUUAUUUAUUUAAAUAUGUAACUUUAUUAUUUCAGUUAAAUUUAAAUUAAUAAAAAUUAAAAGUAGAGAUAUUAAUUUAUAUUGAAAAUGAUAAAUAUUUUUUAUAAAUUUAAUUAAAUUUUAAAUUAAUUAUUUUUCACUAUUUAAGUAUGCAAUUUUUAUUAAUAAUCUAUUGGGUAAAUUACUUAAUUAAUCAUCUAACUUUUUAGACGUUUUUAUUUUAAUUACUCAAAUUUAAAAAAUUUAUAAUUUAGUCAACUAUCAUUAGAAAUUUUUUAUUUAAGUCUCUCAGUAAUCCCAUAAAAGGACAUCUGUCUUGGCACAGCAAAUCCCAAUCUAAUAUAACUUUUUCGCCAAUUGAAUUUUUCUUUCAUUUUUUUCUUUUGGUCAUAUUUCAUCAUUCUUCCCUAGCAAGAGAUGUAGGACUUGGGGAACUGUCCCUUUUACCGGUAUUAUCGAAUCAAACACGCUGAUUUUGCUUAUAGAACACACCCUUUAUGCCUCAAUGGCCAACCCCAUAUCUUUCAUCUCUCCAUAAAAUCUCGUUUCAGCUCUUCCCACAGCCAUUCAUUUGGGAUCUCUGUUUCCAUAUCGGUAACUACUCUGUUUCUAUUAUAUCUCUCUUUUAAUUUCAUCAUUAUACUUUUAAAUUUGUUGUUUCUUUUUUCUUUUUCUGUCAUAAUCAAAGUAUUUAUUUUCUUGUCAAAUCAUAUAAAUUUCUUCACUAUCCACAUCCUCUUAUAAUUCCCAUUAAUGUAUCUGACAUUGUCAAUUUCGUUUAAGAUCUGUUGUUUUAAAUUUGGGGUGUUUGUUAUUUUUUUGAGAAUAAAUUUAUAAUCUUUUUGGGUUUCCAAAAUGUUAUCUAUUAGCUUUGAAUCCACUAAAAAAUAAUAUGCUACUGGCAGUUUAGUAGUUGGUUAUGCACUUUGUUCAAGCGUACUUGCUGUUAUAACCAAAUUCAAUUACCUAGGUUUAUUGACUGCAUUACAUUCCUUAACUUCUGCUUUAGGGGUCUGGGUUUUGGGAAAAUUUGGAUUUUUACAUCAUGAACCAUGCGAAUGUGGAUACUUCCAUAGUGUUUAGAUCACUGACACCCUUUUUGGGUUGCCUUGGCUGAUACAACCUUUAGGAGGCAAACCUUGUCCUUCAAAGCUCACAUUUAUGUCUCUUUUGAUCAUUUUGGGUGGUACUGUUGAGUAUGUAGCUACUGAUUCCGCUUUUACUUUGAUUGCUUAUUCAUGAGCGUUUGCGUAUUUGGCUACGAUCACCACUGAAAUUAUUUACACCUUGGAUUGAGUUCUUGGGGCUUUGUGUUGUACAAUAAUUUGUUGUCCUUAUGAUGUUAGAAAAGGUGGUACGCAAAAGAAACUUAUGAAGUAAGAAAGAAAAAUUAAGGAAAGAAACAAAUAGGCUUGAAGUGUGAUUCAUUGACUUGGCUUUAAUUUGCUUCAUAUAGACACUUAUUACGUAACCUGUGGUACAAGUUACGUUUUUCUCUAACAUUGUAACUUUUCAGAAAGCUAUGUUUUUUUCAUUUAAUGUAUUUUCUGAAAGUUUGGUAUUCAAAUAUAUUUAUUCAACGCAAAUAAAAUAAUUGUUAUGAUUAUUUCGAAAAUAAAAAAUAAUAACUAUAUGUACAUAAAGCCCAAGAAUCUACCAUUUGACCUGUAAAUAUGUACAUAAAGUCUAAUAGGUAAGCCCACUUAACUAAUGGGCUACACACUCAAUUAUCCAAAUUGUAAAGAAUUUAAUAUUUGUUAGCAAGGUGGGAUUAUUAACAUUGCAAACUAUUAACAGAUGACCUAUAUUUUAGGUUUUGAUUGGAGAAUACGAUUAGAUUGUUUACCAUGAAAGUUCCAAGCAAGAACAGGGACCAAAAAUGGGAAUUACACUAGUACCAACACAACCUCAAAGAGAUAAUCAAGAUAGCUAUGAGAUGCAUAUAACAACAGAGGGUAGUUCUGAAGCAGGGGAAGGCAUCUUUGGUUCUCAGAAGUUGGUGUGGGAUGAUAUGAUCAAAUCAGGUGUUGGAAGUAGGAGCAUGGGAGGGAAACAAAGUUGGGUCGGGUUGGGGAAGAAGAAGAAUGAAAUAUGACAAAAGAGAAGGAAAAAAAAAAGAAAGAGAAAUUUUUUAUUGGUGAAAGGAGUUAGGUUAGUGAGAAUUUUCUAACGGUAGUGACUAAAUUACAUUUUUUUUUAUUUGAGGGAUCAAAAUGAAAGGGCUUAAAAAGUUGGGUAAUCAACUAGGUAGUUUAUCUUAAUUUAUUUUAUUUAAUUUUAUAGCAAUAUAGGAGGACAUGGGUUCGAGUGUACUGAAUCUCAUUAUCCUCUUAUUUAUGGAGAAGGACUAUGUAUAGUUUUAAACAUUGUCUUCUCAAAAAGAAUUUUCUAACGGUAGUGACUAAAUUACAAGUUUUUUUUAUUUGAGGGAUUAAAAUGAAAGCACUUAAAAAGUUGGGUAACCAACUAGGUAGUUUAUCUUAAUUUAUUUUAUUUAAUUUUAUAGCAAUAUAGGAGGACAUGGGUUCGAGUGUAUUGAAUCUCAUUAUCCUCUUAUUUAUAGGUUGGAGAGAGACUAUAUAUAGUUUUAAACAUUGUUUUCUCAAAAAGAACAUAUAUGAAUUCAAAAAAAAUUCUAUUACUUUGUAAUUAAAAAUAUAAAAAUAAAUAAAUUAAAUAGAAAAUAAAUAGAUAAACAGUACUAAUGGCAUAUACAAGUCUGAAACAUCUCACAUAGUUUAAAAAAGUAAUUCUAUUCAUCCUAACUUGUUCUUAUCACUAGCAUAUACAAGUCUUUUCACAUAAUCUCAUUUUGCAUAAAAAUCUAAAAUAUAUUAUCUAAUCAUUGGUCUAUAAGUAUGUAGGCUAUGGACGACACCUAAUGUAACUAAGAAGCAACUCGCAACUGUACACAUUUGCAACCAUACUGUCAAUGUAAGAUCAAUUCUUUUACUGUAACAGCCCGUUUUCAAUGAAAUCAGAACAGUGGUUUCGAGACCACAAAUCUGAAGUUGGAGAAAAAAAUUUAUUUUAUUAUUUUAUGGUCUACAGUAUGAUAAAAAUUUCGUAUAAAAAUUUCGUUAAGAAAUUUUACCGUUUACAUGCCUAAUUUGAUAAAAAGGACUAAAUUGCAUAAAGUGCAAAAGUUAAGUUCUAAUACCUAAAGGGAUUAAAUAGCUAUAAAAUUUUAAAUUGGAAGUCUUUAUAUGAUAAUUAUCCAUUAAGGUUGAUUAAUGGUUAAGCAUGAAUAGUCAUUAAAAUUGAAUGAAUUAUUAAGGUUAAUUUUGGAAAUUAGUGAUUAAAGUUAAGAUAAAAAAGAAAGACUAUCAUCAUCAUCUUUCACCAAAAAAAAAAGAAAAGAAAAGAAACCUAGCCAUGGAAGUUUGAAAAUUUAGGCAAGCUUAUUUUGCUUAAUUAGGUAUGUAUUCUUGUCCCGUUUUUUAUGAUUUCUAUGUUUCCGAUAUUGUAGUAGCUUAAUCUAGCUAGCUCGAGGAUUAAUUUACAAAACUGUUAAAGUGUUAGGGUUUUGCCAUUGAUGAAUAUGCUUGAAUUUUGAAGUUUGAUAAUAGAAAAUUAAUGGUUGUUGUUACAUAAACAACUUUUGUAAAGAGAAUUUUGAUGAAAUCAUUAAUUAGAGACUAAAUUAAAAAGGUGAUAAAUUUAUGGUAAAUUUUGUGAAAUUGUGAAAUAUAUGGGCUGCUAUUAAUAUCUGUAAAAAUUGGCUAGGCUUGAGUAAGGAUUAAAUUGCAUAAAAAAAAUUUUCGAGCCUAGUGACUAAAUUACAAAGGAAUUUAAAAGUAUAGGGCAAAAUGGUAAUUUUUCCAAAAGUUCCAUGUUGGAUUAAAUUGAAUGAGAAUUAUAUUGAAAUGAGUUAAAUUCAUUCAUAUAAAUCCUGUCAGACUUCGUACAGAGUUAGAUCGAGGCAAAGAAAAAAUAUAUGAUUAGACGCCUCCGUAUUUACGUACACUUAUUGAGGUAAGUUCGUGUAAUUAAAUUGAGUAUUUAUGCGUUUUAAUUGAAUCAUAUGUAUGUGAUUUGUAUAAUUACUAUGUAUAAAUACCAAUCACAUAUCUGACAAUUACCGAGUCCCGUUUGAAUUUUAGGAAUUCGUAGGAUACAAAUGACAUGUCAUUAGGGUUACCGAUUUGGUUGGGGUCAUGCGUGUGUUGCGGACACACCAUAGCUCGCAUGAGCUUCCUGUUACUCAGCUCGCAUGAGCUUCCCGUUAUUCAGCUCGCAUGAGCUUCCCAUUAUACAGCUCGGAGGAGCUUACUAUUUACAACUCGUAUGAGUAUACAUGUACAUGAAUUGACGAAUUACAGUUAAGUACACUUCAUGUGUACUACCCGUGUAUCCAACGAUAUUCUAAAUGGUUCAACGGGUACAGUUCUGUUAUGAGAUUAUAUGAGUUCGAUAUGAACUAUUACUAGUAUUUACAUGAAAUACAUGAAAUAUGAUUAUUUGAUGAAUUCAACCAUGUGUGUUGGAUCUUAUAUGUGAUUUUCAUGGCUAAUAUGUUGGUGAUCAUGUGUUUAGGCUUUUGGCCAAAUUGGUUGAGAUAUACUUUGUUUACUUACCUAUUUUAUGGAUAUAUGGUAAUUUAAAUUCUGUUUUAUACGAACUUACUAAGCUUAAAUGCUUACUCUGUGUUAUUUUCCAUGUUUUAUAGUAAUUUGGAAGCUCGUACGAGUUGGAAGCUUGUCGGAGCUAUAUCACACUAUCCAUCGGCUCUUUUGGUACUUUUGGUUAAUUAAUUCCGAUUAUAAUGGCAUGUAUAGGUUAAUUUUGCCAAUGUUGGCAUAUAAUUGUUUUGUUGAGAUUAGCCACUUAUAUGGCUUGUGUUUGGUAUAUUUUGAUGUGUAUAUAUGAUGCCUUAUCAUAUUUGAUGUGUGUUUGAUAUGGUAGAAUGAAAGAAAGUAAAAUGUGGUUUGAAAAUGCAUAUAUGUAUUUGGUAAUUUAGGUAAGUUUGAAUACUUGGUUGACAUGUGUUUAAGUUGUCAUUCGAAGUGCCUAAGGGCAUAUUAGUUGUAUGUGGUGAUAUUUCAUGUUUAAGAUUUGAUUUUGACUUGUUUGAAUGCCUUGUUAUGGCUUGUUGAUGUGCAAAAAUGUUAGAGUUAGGUUGGUGUCAAAUUGGAUGAAAAAUAUGGCUUGAAAAAUAACCUAUUUUCGUCCACACGGAUGUGUGUCUCAGCCGUGUGUAACACACGGUCAGGUGACACAGCUGUGUGUCCCCUAUAUCUUCUUAAUGGUGCAAGUCAGUAUACUCACAUGGCCUAGCACACGGGUGUGUGUCCUUAUUUCAAAUGUCCACACAGUCUAAGACACGAGUGUGUCUCCACACGGCCUAAUCACACGACCAUGUGACCCUUGCAGUAUUGAAAAUUUUUAAUAUUUUUUGAAAAUUUUUUUGAGUAUUCGAUUUAGUCCCGACUUGUUUCUAAUGCGCAUUUUGGGCCUCGAGGGCUCGCAUAAGGAACAAUAUGUUUGAUUUUGAUUGGUUUCUGACAUGAAUAUUAUCUGAUAUAAAAUGUUUAUUUAUUUGAUCUGUAAACUCUGGUAAUGCUCCGUAACCCUGUUCUGGCGAUGGAUUUGGGUUAGGGGUAUUACAUUUACACCUCUCACUUUGUACUAUUAAAGGCAGACAAGUCAUUACUGUAAGUGUUACAUAUCUUCAAAUCAUAGGAAAAUGGUCGCAUUUCUUCAAUACUACUCUCAAUAACAAUAAAACAAAAUCAAAGAAUUUAAUUGCAAAAGAACUUACAAUGAUUCAGUGAAUACAAGAGGCUUAGUUGUGGGUGGAGGAAGCAAUCAAGCAAGCCAAAGAAGAAGAGAAAGCAAUAACACACUGACAAAGAAAAAUGAACAAUACAUAUUAAGAGUCUUUGCAAAGGACAAAAUAGAAAUUACAACUUUCUUUGCAAGUAAAAAACCUGAAAUUUAUUUCUUUAUAAAAUUUCAUUCAACAAAACUGGCUCUUUAUUUAGCAAAUAACAAUGUCUUUAACAAAAAUUAUAGUUGUUUUAAAAAUGAUAUUUAAAGAUAACUAAAUUAUUUUAAAAUAUUUAAAGAUAAUGUAAAUAAAUAAAAUUAAAUAACCAAAAACUAUAAUAUUCAACGUUCCAAUAGCCCAUGAAAUUGAUUGGGUUACGUUCAUUAUCAACACCGAGGAUGGCCUUCGAUUUUGGGGCCAAUUAAAAGAUUCAAUUUUUAUUUAAGAUUUAAAACUUAGCAACUAAGAAACGUAUUACUAUAUAAAAAGGAGAAAAAAGACAAGCUAAAUGUAAAUUAAUAUUUCUUUCACAAAAUAUAUGCUCAGAGAAUUACCAUAUAAUUAUUAAUAAAUUAAUCCCACUAGUUGUAAAAUGAAUUACCAAUGGUAAAAAUAUUAUACAAGUCAUUGUCUUAUAUCUUAAAUUGCAUUACAAUCCUUCUAUUUGAAAAAUAAUCAAAAUGGUCAUUGCACAUUACAAAAAAUAAGCAAGAUAACCCCUUAAAAGAAAAAAAAAACUAGAUUAAGUUGGCAUAGCUUAAAUGCCCAAAAGUUCAUAGCCUCGACUCUGAAAAGAAAAAUGUCAACAAAGAGUUACUGAUUUUUAACUAUUAACUAGUGUAUGUUUUGUAUAAUCCAACAUCAAUUCAUCCAAGCUCCCCAUUUUCGCUUUUUUACUUCCAUGACUACAAAUAAAUAAAAUGUAUUGACUGCAAUAUGUCUUAAUCUCUAAGUUCAAAAUUUAUUGCACUUCAACCAAAGAGAAAAAUGGGUGCUCUAUAAAAAAAAUUCAGCCAAAGAAGAAAAGAGGAGAAAAAUGGUAUGAUUGAUGCCCUUGAUAAGAUGAAGUUCUUAGAUAAAUUAAAAUAGUAAAAGUAAUGUGGAUUUAUAAACAACAUAACAUCUUCAACAAAAGAAAUAAGAAAAAGCUUCAAUAGAUUCUAUUAAGACUAGUUAGCCCUUAAAUAGAAGUUGACCCCCAUCCAGUUUAAAGUUCCCAACAAGAAAAAGUAGGAUUCACAAAAUUAAUGAUGAACAUCUAAAAGAUCGUAGAUAAAGUUUUUACUUCUAGAAUUUAUAUUAAGCAAGAAGUAUAGGAUUUCAUUUACUUGGCAGCUUGAAGUAUGCAAUUCAAAAGUGGAUCAAAAACAAUUUAAGGAAAAACAUAGAACUAACCAAAGAUCUUAUAUAAGAGGGAAGGUGUUUAGGUUUACUCUCAUACCCCCUGGUAGAAUCCAAUUACAACUCCGAAAUAUGCUAAAGCAACCUGAUAACCUUGUUCAUAAAUGUGUGCCAAAGGAAGAUAUGAUAUAUAUCUGGACAUGGGACAACUAUUUCAAUGAGGCAGAUAAGAAUGAUGAUUGCAAAACUUAAUUUAUUACCAUUUCAAAUAGUAACAAUUGAAGAAGCAUCUAAACUACAACACAUAUGGUAAAUGAUGCAAAAUUCUUUGAUACAAUAGAUGACAUAGAUAAAUGAAGAAAAACACCUACCAUGUAUAAAAUAAAUUAUAAUUACUAACAAUUUCGAGCUCACAAAACAUAAAACAUGUAUCACCUAAAAAUGAUCCUGUUUUCUUAAUUCAAAUAACUUAAUAAUUUAUAAUCAAAUUAAUUUCCAUGAAAAAUACGAAUGGCAUGCUCAUUACCUUGAAAACACCCCCAAUCAGAACCUACAUAAUCAUUUAUAAAGCAUUAGUUAGUAUAGGUAAGGCAAGAUGACAUCUAGACUUGACAGAGGAAUUCUUCAGGAUGCAUAAGUUUUCAUUAGUCAUUACCAAUAUUAUAAAGAAAUGAAAAAAUGUAACCAUAUAGUUAACUAACCAUUAAGGAAGAGAACUAAACAACAUAAGAAUGUGAUGCAUAUAUUUGAUCAGUAACUUUUCCUAUUCAAUUUCAUGACAUAAUAGGCAAUAAAAUCCCCAGAAUUGUGCUAAACAUCAUUUUUAAGCAACUCUUAAACGCAGUCUUAGUCACUAUCUUGCACUAACCAAAUACCCCUAACUACCCUAUAAUUCAUUACAAUAUCCAAUCUUUAUAACAAGACUAACCAUAACAUAAAGCAAAAUUAUAUCUUCAAAGCACACAAUGCAAAGUUAAAAAGAAUAAACAAAAAUCCUUGCACAAAUUACAAACCAUAAGAAUGCAACAUGUCCAGAUGAUAAACUUACAAAAAUUACAGAGCAAAAUUAUAUCUUCAAAGCACACAAUCAAGCUUUUGAAACAAGAAUUGGUGUUUAUACACAAGAGUUGUAGUACGAUUGGACCAAACGUAUUUUCAACGACGCUUUCUCAUCUCAUAACUAUUAACUCUACUAAUCUAAUCGUAUCUUUUCUUCUUAUUAGAGGUUUUUUUAAUCACUUUCGUUCUUUUUGCUUCUUUUGUUAUUUAUUAAUCGAAGAUUCAUUGUUGUUAAUAAAUUGAAGGAUAUGCGAUCUCAACAAAAUAUAAUUUAAGGAAAAAUAAAUAAAAUAAAACCCUAUAAGAAGUAAAAAGGAAAAGGAGAGAUUUUGUUGAGGCAGAAACAAAUUUCAUGGUGGAGCUUAAGAAAAGGGAAGCAAAAGAAAGAAAAGAAUAGUAUUGAUUAUGCUUGUUCAGGUCAAUUUCAUACUUCUAAGUACCCAAAUUAGACCAUCACUUACCAUAAAUAAGGAGGUUCAACUAGAAGGAAGAUGAAGAUGGUGAGUGAAUGCUUGAUUUGUCGUCGAUUAAUAUGCUAAUUUCUAGGGUUCACUUUGGGAAAGAAAGUCGAGGAAGAAUGAAAUGGUUUGAAGUGAAGAGUGAAAACAAUGUAGGUGAGAAGCCAAGAUAUUUUGAUCCAAAAAGGAAAAAAUAUAAUUACGGGUGAUAUUGAAUAGCUAAUUUAGACCCUAAGUCCUUAAAUUGUUAUUACACGCCAUGCCGCAAUAGAGACUUAUUCCAUUCGACAAUUGUUUAUGAUUAGCCCAUUGAAUAAGGACUAAUACAUCCAAGCAAAAAUGCUAACAAAUAAUUGAAAUAAGCGAGGGUACAGUCGGUGCAGGCAUUUA